AUGUAUUGCUCUGGCUACACAUAUACUAAGAUUGGAACAAUACAGAGAAGAUUAGCAUGACCCUGCACAAGGAUGACAUGCAAAUUUGUGAAGAGUUCCAUAUUUCU
Molecule: small nuclear RNA, 107 nt
Organism: Octopus sinensis (East Asian common octopus)
Lineage: Eukaryota; Metazoa; Mollusca; Cephalopoda; Octopoda; Octopodidae
Source: RefSeq, a predicted model, not a curated record